AUUGAACGCUGGCGGCAUGCCUUACACAUGCAAGUCGAACGGCAGCAUGGAGAGCUUGCUCUCUGAUGGCGAGUGGCGAACGGGUGAGUAAAGCAUCGGAACGUACCGUGUAGUGGGGGAUAACGUAGCGAAAGUUACGCUAACACCGCAUACGCACUGAGGUGGAAAGCAGGGGAUCGUAAGACCUUGCGCUAUACGAGCGGCCGAUGUCAGAUUAGCUAGUUGGUAGGGUAAAGGCCUACCAAGGCGACGAUCUGUAGCGGGUCUGAGAGGAUGAUCCGCCACACUGGGACUGAGACACGGCCCAGACUCCUACGGGAGACAGCAGUGGGGAAUUUUGGACAAUGGGGGCAACCCUGAUCCAGCCAUGCCGCGUGAGUGAAGAAGGCCUUCGGGUUGUAAAGCUCUUUCGGCCGGGAAGAAAUCGCACAGGCUAAUACCCUGUGUGGAUGACGGUACCGGCAUAAGAAGCACCGGCUAACUACGUGCCAGCAGCCGCCGUAA
RNAcentral lists this ribosomal RNA (504 nucleotides) under uncultured bacterium. Its description in RNAcentral is "partial 16S ribosomal RNA". It matches the Rfam family "Bacterial small subunit ribosomal RNA", at positions 30 to 523 of the family's 1533-position model. The record is from RNAcentral.